AGAGAUUGAACAUAAGAGUUUGAUCCUGGCUCAGAUUGAACGCUGGCGGCAUGCUUUACACAUGCAAGUCGGACGGCAGCACAGGGAAGCUUGCUUCUCGGGUGGCGAGUGGCGAACGGGUGAGUAACAUAUCGGAACGUACCGGGUAGCGGGGGAUAACUGAUCGAAAGAUCAGCUAAUACCGCAUACGUCUUGAGAGGGAAAGCAGGGGACCUUCGGGCCUUGCGCUAUCCGAGCGGCCGAUAUCUGAUUAGCUGGUUGGCGGGGUAAAGGCCCACCAAGGCGACGAUCAGUAGCGGGUCUGAGAGGAUGAUCCGCCACACUGGGACUGAGACACGGCCCAGACUCCUACGGGAGGCAGCAGUGGGGAAUUUUGGACAAUGGGCGCAAGCCUGAUCCAGCCAUGCCGCGUGUCUGAAGAAGGCCUUCGGGUUGUAAAGGACUUUUGUCAGGGAAGAAAAGGCCGUUGCCAAUAUCGGCGGCCGAUGACGGUACCUGAAGAAUAAGCACCGGCUAACUACGUGCCAGCAGCCGCGGUAAUACGUAGGGUGCGAGCGUUAAUCGGAAUUACUGGGCGUAAAGCGGGCGCAGACGGUUACUUAAGCAGGAUGUGAAAUCCCCGGGCUCAACCCGGGAACUGCGUUCUGAACUGGGUGACUCGAGUGUGUCAGAGGGAGGUGGAAUUCCACGUGUAGCAGUGAAAUGCGUAGAGAUGUGGAGGAAUACCGAUGGCGAAGGCAGCCUCCUGGGAUAACACUGACGUUCAUGUCCGAAAGCGUGGGUAGCAAACAGGAUUAGAUACCCUGGUAGUCCACGCCCUAAACGAUGUCAAUUAGCUGUUGGGCAACUUGAUUGCUUGGUAGCGUAGCUAACGCGUGAAAUUGACCGCCUGGGGAGUACGGUCGCAAGAUUAAAACUCAAAGGAAUUGACGGGGGCCCGCACAAGCGGUGGAUGAUGUGGAUUAAUUCGAUGCAACGCGAAGAACCUUACCUGGUUUUGACAUGUGCGGAAUCCUCCGGAGACGGAGGAGUGCCUUCGGGAGCCGUAACACAGGUGCUGCAUGGCUGUCGUCAGCUCGUGUCGUGAGAUGUUGGGUUAAGUCCCGCAACGAGCGCAACCCUUGUCAUUAGUUGCCAUCAUUCGGUUGGGCACUCUAAUGAGACUGCCGGUGACAAGCCGGAGGAAGGUGGGGAUGACGUCAAGUCCUCAUGGCCCUUAUGACCAGGGCUUCACACGUCAUACAAUGGUCGGUACAGAGGGUAGCCAAGCCGCGAGGCGGAGCCAAUCUCACAAAACCGAUCGUAGUCCGGAUUGCACUCUGCAACUCGAGUGCAUGAAGUCGGAAUCGCUAGUAAUCGCAGGUCAGCAUACUGCGGUGAAUACGUUCCCGGGUCUUGUACACACCGCCCGUCACACCAUGGGAGUGGGGGAUACCAGAAGUAGGUAGGGUAACCGCAAGGAGUCCGCUUACCACGGUAUGCUUCAUGACUGGGGUGAAGUCGUAACAAGGUAGCCGUAGGGGAACCUGCGGCUGGAUCACCUCCUUUCUA
Molecule: ribosomal RNA, 1551 nt
Filed under: Neisseria gonorrhoeae
Lineage: Bacteria; Pseudomonadati; Pseudomonadota; Betaproteobacteria; Neisseriales; Neisseriaceae
Description: bacterial SSU rRNA
Rfam family: Bacterial small subunit ribosomal RNA
Source: RNAcentral